This 368-nucleotide unclassified non-coding RNA is filed under the name Hevea brasiliensis (rubber tree). The record is from RNAcentral. Lineage: Eukaryota; Viridiplantae; Streptophyta; Magnoliopsida; Malpighiales; Euphorbiaceae.
CCGCACUCCUCGACACCCUCUCCCUCUUCACCGUUACAGUAACAGGUUUGUCUAGCAACACCGGAAACACGACGGCCGGGGUAGUUGUAUCUGCAGUGACAGCCUUCUUAGACAAAAGGGCCGUCUUCUUCGCCGCUGGCGUCGGUCGUGAAGUCAGCCAUGGGACAUCAAUUUUCUGAUAAGUGUAACGCAUCUUGCUGGUGUCGAGACAGUCGCUGAUCUUUACCUUCACCAGUUGCGCAUUCUCAUCGUAGAAGAGAAACGAUGCGUUGAGCCAAUCUGGGUCCGUGAAAUUGGUGUGCUUUCCUCCUAGGCCACGCCAGACGUCCCAGAUGCGGUCAAUGUUGGCGUGGUGGGCGAAGAAGAUC